CAAUAGCGUAUAUUAAAGUUGUUGCAGUUAAAAAGCUCGUCGUUGGAUUUCUGAGGGCAGCUGUUUGGCCUCCGUGUUCGGUGCGCCUACCGCUGUUCUCAUCCUUCUGUUAACUGUUGUUGGCAUUCAUUUGUCGCUUCAGAGCUCAGAUACUUUACCUUGAGCAAAUUAGAGUGUUUCAGGCAGGCUUUUCGCCCGAAUACAUUAGCAUGGAAUAAUAGAAUAGGACUUCGUUGCAUUUUAUUGGUUUUAUGUACGGAGUAAUGAUUAAUAGGGAUAAUUGGGGGCAUUAGUAUUUAACUGUCAGAGGUGAAAUUCUUUGAUUUGUUAAAGACUAACUUAUGCGAAAGCAUUUGCCAAGAGUGUUUUCAUUAA
RNAcentral lists this ribosomal RNA (375 nucleotides) under uncultured eukaryote. RNAcentral describes it as "partial 18S ribosomal RNA". It matches the Rfam family "Eukaryotic small subunit ribosomal RNA", at positions 592 to 976 of the family's 1831-position model. The record is from RNAcentral.